RNAcentral lists this small RNA (123 nucleotides) under Arabidopsis thaliana (thale cress). RNAcentral's name for it is "ATSL156620". The record is from RNAcentral. Lineage: Eukaryota; Viridiplantae; Streptophyta; Magnoliopsida; Brassicales; Brassicaceae.
AUUCUCAGGAAUGAUCAAUUGCAAAGGUUGGAAAUAUGCGGAGGAUAUCUAUCUGAUGAAGCGAGUACUCCUUUGUCCUAUCUCUGAAAAGAAUAAGUCUGGGGAGAGAAAGAAUAUAAAAAU